Long non-coding RNA from Pseudoliparis swirei, 1305 nucleotides. RefSeq lists it as uncharacterized. Lineage: Eukaryota; Metazoa; Chordata; Actinopteri; Perciformes; Liparidae. The transcript has 2 exons. The record is from RefSeq and is a predicted model, not a curated record.
AAAAAUACUUAUUAGUUCCUUGCAAUGUCUUUAUACAGUAGGAUGGAAGCGGAAGGCCCUGCAGGUGUCAAAAGGUGGACCAUCUGCAAAGAUCGCAAUUUUCCACCAGUCACCACUGGUUGGUGGAGCCCACGCCCAGCCCCAACCCCAUCUAGCCCUGCUGCUCCAUCCACCCUUCCUGCCCCAUCCGGCCCUGCUGCUCCACCAAGCCCUACUGCCCCAUCCCAGCCGGCAUUUCAGAAUGUCCACAGCCUUUUGAGGACAUGCUCAGGGCAUCGGAGCAAAAGGUGAAGUGCACAGCUAGGCAUAGGUUUCUUCAAGACAGGUUUAUAUUUUUAGUGGUAGUGUGGUAGUAACAGUGCUGAGACCAUUUGUGAUGGGAUCUGGGAAAACCAGUCACAUGGUGAAAUUUGACCUUUUGGAAGCUGACUUCAAGCUUGUUUCAAAUAUGUUUUCAUUAUUUGUCUGUUUCAAAUGUUAUGAUUGCCCAAACUCAGCUGAUCAGUUAGAUUUCAUGGAAUAGAAUUUUGACAAAAACAACUUUAAAGAGAGGGGUUCUAAAUAGACUGGCUGGUUGAAUAAAGCACAUUUUAACACAUUCAAUUAAUGAAAACAAGUAGAUAUGUUUAGGGAUGAUAGACAUGUUAUAGAAUAAUAAUUGAAUCAAAACCCAAUUUCACCAAAAUACUGAGUUUCGACCUACUAGUAUUUUCACUCUAAUCUCAAAAAUGUCCCUUUUCACCAUGUGACUGGUUUCCCCAGAGCCCAUCACAGUUUUGGGUUAUAGGAACAUCUGUUGGGAUGGCAGUAAAGACAGAAGGGCUAUGUACAGACAUUACAUGUGUACAAUACUGUACUGUAUGUAAAGAAGAUGAAAUCCUAAUAUUGUUACGAAUAAUAUUGUUGAAACAUUGAAACCUUCUUUGAGUGUGACUCAGAAAUUAUUUUUACAAAGAUACCAGAUAACGGUGGAGGAGAUCAGGAGGAGGACUGCUCCACCUGAUUGCAAACUAUUCAAAGACAGACCACAACAAGCAGCAGAUACAAACUGUCCAUCACGACGGGGCAUUUAAGCGCAGGCGAAGACAGCGAACCCGUAACUAGUCUUUCCCCAGUUUUCCGACCUGUCCCACACUGCCCCAAUAAAAUAUUUAGAUAAUAUUUAUAGUGUAUUAAAUUCUGCCAUCCUUUGUGCUUAGUAAACUAAGCUGUUUGCGUGUGAAAUUUUGUUUUUACCAUUUUACUGUGUGUAUGAGGGUUGUAUUUGGCCUUUAUUUUCAAUAAAGAAUAUGUCACACCCCAUCA